GAUGAAGAACGUAGUGAAAUGCGAUAAGUAAUGUGAAUUGCAGAAUUCAGUGAAUCAUCGAAUCUUUGAACGCACAUUGCGCCCGCCAGUAUUCUGGCGGGCAUGCCUGUUCGAGCGUCAUUACAACCCUCAGGCCCCCGGGCCUGGCGUUGGGGAUCGGCGGAGCCCCCCGUGGGCACACGCCGUCCCCCAAAUGCAGUGGCGGUCCCGCCGCCGCUUCCAUCGCGUAGUAGCUAACACCUCGCGACUGGAGAGCGGCGCGGCCACGCCGUAAAACACCCAACUCUUCUGAAGUUGACCUCGAAUCAGGUAGGAAUACCCGCUGAACUUAAGCAUAUCAAUAAGCGGAGGA
This 352-nucleotide unclassified non-coding RNA is filed under the name soil metagenome. RNAcentral's name for it is "partial contains 5.8S ribosomal RNA, internal transcribed spacer 2, and large subunit ribosomal RNA". The stretch from base 1 to 120 matches the Rfam family "5.8S ribosomal RNA", at positions 35 to 154 of the family's 154-position model. The record is from RNAcentral.